AAUGACCAAAAUUGAAAAAAAUGGAGUUUCUGCGUCCGACACACCAUGUGGUGCUGGCAUCACCAUAGAAGGCUCUAGAAGGAAGUGAGGAAGGACUUGGUGAAGUUUGGUUGCCAGGAAACUACACUAUAUCACAUUGCUGAGGAGAUUGGAGUAAUAGAAAUUUCAACUGGAAGCUGGGAGACCAGUUCGGAAGCUACUCAUCAAUUCAGAAAGACUUCACUACUUCAUGCAAUCUCAGUAGAACUGAUAUCAUGGGACAUCUUCUCCAGCUUGCAGACCUGGUCCAUCUGUAGCAGGAAAAGAAUGCAGCAAACACUGAAGGACAA
Long non-coding RNA from Suricata suricatta (meerkat), 329 nucleotides. RefSeq lists it as uncharacterized. NCBI's taxonomy places the organism in Eukaryota, Metazoa, Chordata, Mammalia, Carnivora, Herpestidae. The record is from RefSeq and is a predicted model, not a curated record. The transcript has 4 exons.